Molecule: ribosomal RNA, 456 nt
Filed under: uncultured bacterium
Lineage: Bacteria
Description: bacterial SSU rRNA
Rfam family: Bacterial small subunit ribosomal RNA
Source: RNAcentral
UUCGGGUGAGGGUACUGGCAGAAGAAGCACCGGCUAACUACGUGCCAGCAGCCGCGGUAAUACGUAGGGUGCGAGCGUUAUCCGGAAUUAUUGGGCGUAAAGAGCUUGUAGGCGGUUUGUCGCGUCUGCUGUGAAAGCCCGGGGCUUAACUCCGGGUCUGCAGUGGGUACGGGCAGGCUAGAGUGAUGUAGGGGUAACUGGAAUUCCUGGGGUAGCGGUGGAAUGCGCAGAUAUCAGGAAGAACACCGAUGGCGAAGGCAGGUUACUGGGCAUUUACUGACGCUGAGAAGCGAAAGCAUGGGGAGCGAACAGGAUUAGAUACCCUGGUAGUCCAUGCCGUAAACGUUGGGCACUAGGUGUGGGGAGCAUUCCACGUUUUCCGCGCCGUAGCUAACGCAUUAAGUGCCCCGCCUGGGGAGUACGGCCGCAAGGCUAAAACUCAAAUGAAUUGACGGA